This 360-nucleotide ribosomal RNA is filed under the name Triticum aestivum (bread wheat). RNAcentral's name for it is "partial small subunit ribosomal RNA". Lineage: Eukaryota; Viridiplantae; Streptophyta; Magnoliopsida; Poales; Poaceae. The record is from RNAcentral.
AUGCAGAGCCACCACCAGAGCAUCACAGCAACACAAGCUGAGCCUACGCAAAGAUCGAGCGAGAAACUAAAAAAAAGCGAGGGAAAUAUGGUGCUGGGCAUGAACUGCUUCGGCGCCCCUGAAGCCGCAAGCAAGGUGUCGCCGGCGGGCAGGCGGCUCGGCGGAGAGGGAGCAGAGGCCAAGGAGCAGAAAGCGGCGGCGAAAGAGGAGGCCGCAGUGAACCGUGCCGUCGGCGAGGCGAAUGAGAUGGGAGCCGAUCAGGUGAAGGCUGCGGGGAAGGAGGUGCACAAGAAGAAGAGGAGCGGGGCUCCAAUAGUGAUGCACCACUUUCCCUUCCAUUCUCGUCCCGGGCUGCUCUGA